GCAUUUUUAACAAUGCUGUAAAAACCAUUCACUGCUGUAAAGAGCAUUCGGGGUGACAAGAGCAAGGUUUCCUUUGUCAUGAGUCAAGCUGACAUAGUGACCAGCCCUCAUGCACUGCUUCCCAAGCCCUGGGGCAUGAUGGUUAAUGAGCUGAGAAAGGUCCGCUCUUAUUUUGCACUCAGCACAUUAUAAAAAAGCACAGCUAUAUGACAAUAUUUAUUGCCUUCUCAUACCGUUGCCUCUACACAGCUGCGUUUGCUGCAUCUCACACACUCUUUCUCUUCAGCCGGACACAUUCCUGUCAUUCAGAGAGAGACAAGCAAGAGAUGUGACCCCCACCUCUUUCUUACACUCACUACAUCUCUCCGUAUCCUUUUGCAGCUGCAGGCCCUCUCUUGUUAAUGAAAUGACCCAGCACUUUGUAAUGCUUCUAAGUUGAGGUAAUGACAUUUAUGUCAACAAACCGGCCAGGACAAAUACAGGUUAUGUAGAAUAGAGCAUCUUGUUAAUGAUAAGUGCAGUUACGUUUAGUUUGGCUAGCGAUUGGGAGAGGUCACUGGCAACAGAAGUCUAAUGAUACCACAGUUCAAACUUUGAGAAUGCUUUAUAAAAAUUCCAAAAUUGCAAUUAAUUUCCUGAGGGAUUCAUCCUGUUGGAUCAUUCCACAGAUAUCCCACAGGCAUUUUCUCUGAAAUCUUCACCCCAUGACAGUUCUCUUCCUUCAUUAUCAUAAAUGCUCCAAGUUCACCACAGACUGACUUCCCGACAGGCACAGAAAAUCUUCCCUUCUCCCCAAGGACCUAUUAUGACCCUACCUGCCUGAGGCCUCAGAACUCCCUCCACACCUGACCUUUCAGCCCUGACACAUGACCCCUGUGCUGAAUGAGAACACACAGGAGCAUCAGAGCCAGACCCACCCCCCACAGCCUCUGGCCAAUGACCAAGCAGGCCACCAGUUUACGGGUAAAGGGGGCAAGAGAUUGGACCCAGUCACCAGAGCUGAGCUCCUGCUUGUCUGUGUGGGGGGCCCUGCAGGCUGUCUGGAGCCCAGCGCAAGACAGGAUGCAGAGAGCACGAUGGAAUGGAGCUUUUGCUCAUGGCUGAUCUCUGCUAUGAUCUGACUUGCUGCUGAAGAACACUCUUUUCCUUCUGUGCACCAUUCUUAUUCUCUGUUCUUACUUUUCAUUUCUUUCUAGUCUCCUAUUCUCUCCCAGACAUGAGCCAACCUGAACUCAGGCCUCAUCUGAUCCCUUCAGUAAUCCUCGAAGGCACUGAACACUCACACACACAUGCACACAAACACUGUAAAUACAUACAUCCGCAAACACAGAUUGCCAACACACAGAAUUAAUUUAAUAUUUUAGAAGAGCUGACAUGUGAUGUAAAUAGAAACAUUCUGUCAAAGACUUUAAGCAAUUCACUUUGCACGUCUGAUCAGGAUCAGUUGCCAAACAUGCUUCACCAAUU
Long non-coding RNA from Cyprinus carpio (common carp), 1467 nucleotides. The record is from Ensembl. NCBI's taxonomy places the organism in Eukaryota, Metazoa, Chordata, Actinopteri, Cypriniformes, Cyprinidae.